Long non-coding RNA from Solanum pennellii, 508 nucleotides. RefSeq lists it as uncharacterized. The transcript has 3 exons. The record is from RefSeq and is a predicted model, not a curated record. Lineage: Eukaryota; Viridiplantae; Streptophyta; Magnoliopsida; Solanales; Solanaceae.
UGAAUUAUCAAAAAUACCUUACUGUAAUGAUUUCACACCUCCAUGCCGCGCGUGCGCAGUGCGCGGAGAGGCAGCAACUUCAAAACCCAUCACGGGGACGCACCACCAAGAGCCAGAGCGUGUGACCACUGUGCGGACCUAAAACAAACACAAAGAAUUUCAAGUGUCGUAAGAGGAUUCAAGCUUGGUUUCGAGGGUAUCUUCAGACAGCUACUGAUAGACCUAAUCUAAAGAUCAGUGAUCAAGACCGAAUUUAAGGGUGAUCCAAUUCUUCCAAGCUGCUAUUAGUUCUCCUUUUACUUAGCCCAUUUUUUGCUGACUUAGAUUAGUACUUUAGAUAUUCGUUUGUUUCAUUUUGGGGUUGUGCCCUCUCCGUAGACUUGUUGAACUUUAGAGUUUUGUACAUUGACUUUCAGGUUCUAGACCUUGUUUCUGCAAAUGUUUAGUAAUGGUUUGUUAAACUUUCGGAGAUUAUGGGAACUCCAGUUUGUUUCCGCAUUUAAACCUA